RNAcentral lists this long non-coding RNA (459 nucleotides) under Capsella grandiflora. RNAcentral describes it as "long non-coding RNA (CGRA_LNC000440)". Lineage: Eukaryota; Viridiplantae; Streptophyta; Magnoliopsida; Brassicales; Brassicaceae. The record is from RNAcentral.
AAAUCAAACCAAACUAGUCUCAGAUACACCAAACAGAAUCAAACAAGUAACAGUUACUCAAAGUCAGACCAUUUUGACUAAAGUUAAGAUCCUACAUAUAUGCUAAAACUCAAACCAAACUAGUCUCAGAUACACCAAACAGAAUCAUACCAAGUAAACAGUAACUCAAAGUCAGGUCCUUUAUAGCAUAAAUCGAGCUUAAGACAAAGAAUAAUGUGACAUUAACUCAAAGUCAAGUCCUUUAUAGUGUACCUUACUUUAAGCUUAUGACCCUUUUUACUAAAGUUAAGAUCCUACAUCUAUGCAAGUAAAACUCAAACCAAACUAGUCUCAGACACACCAAAACAGAACUCAAACGAAGCAACAGUAACUCAAAGUCAGGUCCUUUAAGACAUAAAUCGAGCUUAAUGGCAAAGAAUAGUGUGGCAUAACUCAAAGUCAGGUCCUUUAUGACAUAAA